GGGUCUGCUUCCAGUAAUAUCAAGCUCACUCCUAAUCCUGCUGUUGAACAGUCCUGAUUCUUAGAAGUUUCUUUGUGGAGACAGACCAAAUGCUAAUAGUGGCUGAUUUUUCAGGAACAACAAUUUUGGAAAACUGAGUUAUCUAUUCAGCAUCAUUUUUACAAAGGUACUUUGAAAAAUGUUUAAUUCAAUGAUAAAGAGCCUGCCCAAGAGUUUAAAAUACAAUAAAAACAAGAACGUACAUCAAUUGUUGAUCCCAUCUGAUGGCAGUCUGUCCUUGAGCAUAUAGCUAAAAGGAUUUUCUCUGUAUCAAGUGGCACAACUACGGUGGACAUUCUGGAAACCAGGUGUCUGUUUGUAUGAAAAUGGUUGGAAGAAACAGAUCAGCACCCACAUCAGCGUAAUGUCUUCAUGGUCUUAUGCUGCAAUAAAGGGAAUGAUGCAUGCUUCACUGCAGAAAAACUAUAACUGCUGAGAAGUUCUUAUAAACCAAUGAUCUCAAAAUUAUUUUGGUAAUUUUUUUCUUCCAAAUAAAAUUAGAUAAACUCUACAUCCCUUCACUGCGCUCAAUACCCACCUUCUGUAAAAAGCAUGAAGAAAACUUCAAUGGACCAACAAGGCUGUAACACUGGGGGAAAUGAUUGAUUUCACUUAAACACCACCACCAACAAAAAAUGUUUAAAAACAGUUUCACGGCGCAACUUUCUCCUUGCUUUUUUUUCUUAUAGUUGGAAUGUAUUUUAUCGUCUGUCAGUUUUGCCCCUAUGAUAUGUCCUCUUAAAUUGGAUCUGUAAGCCCUUCAUAAAGUUUAAUAAAUCUUCAGCAUUUCACCCUAAGGAAAUUAUAUUAAAAACCUUCAAAUGUGAAGUUGGGCCCACAGACACACAGUGCUGGGA
Molecule: long non-coding RNA, 896 nt
Filed under: Homo sapiens (human)
Lineage: Eukaryota; Metazoa; Chordata; Mammalia; Primates; Hominidae
Description: HSALNT0150706
Source: RNAcentral